RNAcentral lists this ribosomal RNA (800 nucleotides) under Bacillus amyloliquefaciens. Its description in RNAcentral is "bacterial SSU rRNA". It matches the Rfam family "Bacterial small subunit ribosomal RNA", at positions 57 to 839 of the family's 1533-position model. Lineage: Bacteria; Bacillati; Bacillota; Bacilli; Caryophanales; Bacillaceae. RNAcentral also lists the same sequence under 1 other name. The record is from RNAcentral.
GCAGUCGAGCGGACAGAUGGGAGCUUGCUCCCUGAUGUUAGCGGCGGACGGGUGAGUAACACGUGGGUAACCUGCCUGUAAGACUGGGAUAACUCCGGGAAACCGGGGCUAAUACCGGAUGGUUGUCUGAACCGCAUGGUUCAGACAUAAAAGGUGGCUUCGGCUACCACUUACAGAUGGACCCGCGGCGCAUUAGCUAGUUGGUGAGGUAACGGCUCACCAAGGCGACGAUGCGUAGCCGACCUGAGAGGGUGAUCGGCCACACUGGGACUGAGACACGGCCCAGACUCCUACGGGAGGCAGCAGUAGGGAAUCUUCCGCAAUGGACGAAAGUCUGACGGAGCAACGCCGCGUGAGUGAUGAAGGUUUUCGGAUCGUAAAGCUCUGUUGUUAGGGAAGAACAAGUGCCGUUCAAAUAGGGCGGCACCUUGACGGUACCUAACCAGAAAGCCACGGCUAACUACGUGCCAGCAGCCGCGGUAAUACGUAGGUGGCAAGCGUUGUCCGGAAUUAUUGGGCGUAAAGGGCUCGCAGGCGGUUUCUUAAGUCUGAUGUGAAAGCCCCCGGCUCAACCGGGGAGGGUCAUUGGAAACUGGGGAACUUGAGUGCAGAAGAGGAGAGUGGAAUUCCACGUGUAGCGGUGAAAUGCGUAGAGAUGUGGAGGAACACCAGUGGCGAAGGCGACUCUCUGGUCUGUAACUGACGCUGAGGAGCGAAAGCGUGGGGAGCGAACAGGAUUAGAUACCCUGGUAGUCCACGCCGUAAACGAUGAGUGCUAAGUGUUAGGGGGUUUCCGCCCC